CUACGGGGUGCAGCAGUAGGGAAUUUUGGGCAAUGGGGGAAACCCUGACCCAGCAACGCCGCGUGAGUGAAGAAGGUUUUCGGAUCGUAAAUCUCUGUCAGGUGGGAAGAAUAAAGGCCGGUUAACCCCGGUCCUUGACCGCCACCAAAGGAAGCACCGGCUAACUCCGUGCCAGCAGCCGCGGUAAUACGGAGGGUGCAAGCGUUGUCCGGAUUUAUUGGGCGUAAAGGGCGUGUAGGCGGCCUGACAAGUCUGAUGUGAAAGCCCUCGGCUCAACCGGGGAAGUGCAUUAGAAACUGGCGGGCUUGAGUGCGGGAGAGGAAGGUGGAAUUCCCAGUGUAGCGGUGAAAUGCGUAGAUAUUGGGAGGAACACCAGUUGCGAAGGCGGCCUUCUGGACCGUCACUGACGCUGAGACGCGAAAGCGUGGGGAGCAAACAGGAUUAGAUACCCUAGUAGUC
Molecule: ribosomal RNA, 459 nt
Filed under: uncultured bacterium
Lineage: Bacteria
Description: partial 16S ribosomal RNA
Rfam family: Bacterial small subunit ribosomal RNA
Source: RNAcentral